AGACAAUGGGCGCAAGCCUGAUCUAGCCAUGCCGCGUGAGUGAUGAAGGUCUUAGGAUCGUAAAGCUCUUUCGCUAGGGAUGAUAAUGACAGUACCUAGUAAAGAAGCCCCGGCUAACUCCGUGCCAGCAGCCGCGGUAAUACGGAGGGGGCUAGCGUUGUUCGGAAUUACUGGGCGUAAAGCGUACGUAGGCGGAUCAGAAAGUAUGGGGUGAAAUCCCAGGGCUUAACCCUGGAACUGCCUCAUAAACUCCUGGUCUUGAGUUCGAGAGAGGUGAGUGGAAUUCCAAGUGUAUAGGUGAAAUUCGUAGAUAUUUGGAGGAACACCACUGGCGAAAGCGGGUCACUGGCUCUAUACUGACCCUGAGGCACGAAAGUUGGGAGCCAACAGGAUUAGAUACCCCGGUAGUCACACCGGUAAACGAUGGCCCCCAGUCGUCGGGCAGUAUACUGUUCGGUGACACACCUAACGGAUUAAGCAUUCCGCCUGGGGAGUACGGUCGCAAGAUUAAAACUCAAAGGAAUUGACGGGGGCCCGCACAAGCGGU
RNAcentral lists this ribosomal RNA (547 nucleotides) under uncultured bacterium. Its description in RNAcentral is "bacterial SSU rRNA". It matches the Rfam family "Bacterial small subunit ribosomal RNA", at positions 366 to 933 of the family's 1533-position model. The record is from RNAcentral.